Long non-coding RNA from Eriocheir sinensis (Chinese mitten crab), 494 nucleotides. RefSeq lists it as uncharacterized. The transcript has 4 exons. The record is from RefSeq and is a predicted model, not a curated record. NCBI's taxonomy places the organism in Eukaryota, Metazoa, Arthropoda, Malacostraca, Decapoda, Varunidae.
AACGUCUGUUACGUCACACUACAGGGCGGGGCGUGUGGGAGCAAGGAGCCUCCUCCUUCCCGCCCGCUGCCUCACACCCUCGCCGGCCGCCCUCCGCUCACACGCAUUCACGCACACAGCAUGUCUGACGAACAGCCCGCCGCCCCACUCGAGGCCGAGGCCCCCGCAUGCCCGGAGACCAACACGGCCCUGCAGCACUGCGUGACAGAGAACGGGGAAACGAACUGCGCGGCGUUGCUGGAGGCCCACCAGGAGUGUCUCCGGAAGCUGGGUGUGCAGGUUUGACAGGUGGUGGCUGAGCCGCCUCCAGGAUGCCGGUCAGACCAUCGCGGCCCACCACGCUCUGCCAUGCCCUCACCGGUGACAGCGGCGGUGGCGGUACCAGAGGCGGACCUAGGGGGCGUCGGUGCCCACCGCCUGCUGCGUCUGUACAGUUACAUUAACAUUGGACAUAUGAUGACUUCCUUUUAAUAAAUAAUUAUAAAACUUAAAAA